Molecule: ribosomal RNA, 253 nt
Filed under: uncultured bacterium
Lineage: Bacteria
Description: partial 16S ribosomal RNA
Rfam family: Bacterial small subunit ribosomal RNA
Source: RNAcentral
UACGAAGGGGGCGAGCGUUGUUCGGAUUUACUGGGCGUAAAGGGCUCGUAGGCGGCCAACUAAGUCAGACGUGAAAUCCCCAGGCUCAACCUGGGAACUGCGUCUGAUACUGGAUGGCUUGAAUCCGGGAGAGGGAUGCAGAAUUCCAGGUGUAGCGGUGAAAUGCGUAGAUAUCUGGAGGAAUACCGGUGGCGAAGGCGGCAUCCUGGACCGGCAUUGACGCUGAGGAGCGAAAGCCAGGGGAGCAAACGGG